Molecule: small nuclear RNA, 101 nt
Filed under: Fukomys damarensis (Damara mole-rat)
Lineage: Eukaryota; Metazoa; Chordata; Mammalia; Rodentia; Bathyergidae
Source: RNAcentral
GUGUUCCCCUCAGCAGCACAUGCCCUAAAAUAGGAUAGAGAAGAUUAGCAGGGUCCCCAUGCAAGGGGUAGGCAUGCAUUUGUGACGCUUUCUGCAUUGUU